UAGGAUGGAGUCAUUACAUAUCAAGUGAUC
RNAcentral lists this non-coding RNA (30 nucleotides) under Rattus norvegicus (Norway rat). The record is from RNAcentral. Lineage: Eukaryota; Metazoa; Chordata; Mammalia; Rodentia; Muridae.